Long non-coding RNA from Peromyscus californicus insignis, 838 nucleotides. RefSeq lists it as uncharacterized. The transcript has 3 exons. The record is from RefSeq and is a predicted model, not a curated record. NCBI's taxonomy places the organism in Eukaryota, Metazoa, Chordata, Mammalia, Rodentia, Cricetidae.
GAGAGGACCUUCUCUGACUGGAGAGCUGCCUGUGAGCUGUGCAGAGGGCACCAGGGCUGCAGCCUUCUCGAGCUGUCACCGUGUUGGGCGGGCUCUGGGUGGUGCAGCUGCUCUUGAGUCUCCCCUGCUCCUGCCCACCUGCCUAGGGAUGACACCAUCCACAGCAGGCUGGAUCCUCCCACAUCAAUCAGCAGGCAAGAUAUGCCCCUCAGGACAUGCCCACAGGCCAGUCGAUGAAGAUGCUUCCUCAACUGAGGUUCCCUCUUCCCAGGAGCCUGGCAUAGUCACCAUCAGAGAGGCUCCAUCCAGCAACUGAUGGAAACAGAUGCAGAUACCCACAGCUAAACAUUCAGUGGAACUUGGUGAAUCCUGUGGAAGAAGGGGAGGAAGGAUUGUAGGAGCCGGAAGGAACAAGGACACCACAAGAAACCCACAGAACCAACAAACCUAGACUCAUAGAUAUUGAAACGACAAUCAGGGAGCCUGCAUGGGUCUAACCUACACCCUCUGCAUAUAUGUUUUAGUUGUAUAGCUUGAUGUUUUUGUGGGGACUCCUAACAGGGGGAGUGGGGGCUGUUUCUGAUGCUUUUGUCAGCUUUUGGGACCCUUUCCUCCUACUGAAUUGCUUCAUCCAGCCUUAAUAUGAUGGGAGGUACCUAGUCUUAUUGCAACUUGAUAUACCAUGUUUGGUUGAUAUCCCUGGGAGGCCUGCCCUUUCUUGAAGGGAAAUGGAGGAAUGGAUUGGGAAGAAGGAGGGAGGCACUGAGAGGGAGAGAAGGGAGGGGAAACGCGAGUACAGAUGUAAUAUAUGAGAGAAUGAAUUAAUAAUAAAUGUGGG